This 290-nucleotide long non-coding RNA is filed under the name Olea europaea (common olive). Its description in RNAcentral is "long non-coding RNA (OEUR_LNC006247)". Lineage: Eukaryota; Viridiplantae; Streptophyta; Magnoliopsida; Lamiales; Oleaceae. The record is from RNAcentral.
GAAAUGCACGCAUCACGAUGCAACAUGAUAUGAGAAGAUGCACACACGGAAACACAUAUGAUCCAAUCACAUAAACAUGAAUGAAAACACACAUGGCAUGCAACGACACUCAAACAAGUAGGAAAGAAACGAAGGAAAAGAAGGAAAUAAAAAAAAAAUCAAAAGAAACCAAAUAAGCAUAAAAAAGUGAACUUUCAUCGAACACGUGGCGUGCGUGACUUCGGCACCAAAUUCCAAGCACAUACGAGACCCAAUCACAAAUCCAUACACAUCCCUAAAAACUACAUGCU